AUCAUUCAUUCAUUCAUUAGUUCAAAGUAUACUCUGUCAAACACAACACGCGUAUAUAUUAUAGUGUCAGCACCACCCUAACUAAAGGGUGGGCGCGACCUACAACAAAGACUUGUAAUGAUCCUUCCGCAGGUUCACCUACGGAAA
RNAcentral lists this unclassified non-coding RNA (147 nucleotides) under uncultured fungus. RNAcentral's name for it is "sequence contains ITS1". The record is from RNAcentral. Lineage: Eukaryota; Fungi.